RNAcentral lists this long non-coding RNA (213 nucleotides) under Prunus persica (peach). RNAcentral describes it as "long non-coding RNA (PPER_LNC008045)". The record is from RNAcentral. Lineage: Eukaryota; Viridiplantae; Streptophyta; Magnoliopsida; Rosales; Rosaceae.
CGGAUUUGAGAGGUGGUGCUUCAUUUCCUCAAGAGCCUGCUGGUGCGGUUCCUCCCAUUAAUUGGCAACUUGUGCUCCACCAGUUCUCUGUCCAACCCAGGCAUUUCAUGAUAAUGCCAUGCGAAACAGUCUUUGAAAUCAUGCAGAAGUGCAAUGAUUUCAUCCUUUAAUGAUUCUUCCAGUAACAUGCUGAUGAAAGUAGGUCUAGGGUCC